GGCCAAGUACUUUAAAAAAAAGAAAUAGUUUGCACCUAUGAAAUAAGAAGCCUUCUUCUUAGCCA
This 65-nucleotide transfer RNA is filed under the name Psilodens balduri. RNAcentral's name for it is "tRNA-Ala". Lineage: Eukaryota; Metazoa; Mollusca; Caudofoveata; Limifossorida; Limifossoridae. The record is from RNAcentral.